CUGCACAUUCUCGAUUCAAGAUACCCAUCCAGUGACCGAGGAUACAUUCUGCAACAUUGAGAAGAACUCUAACAUGGCACGUUUGAUGAGGAAAUAGCUCCUCAGGAGGCAGUGGAA
Molecule: long non-coding RNA, 117 nt
Organism: Amblyraja radiata (thorny skate)
Lineage: Eukaryota; Metazoa; Chordata; Chondrichthyes; Rajiformes; Rajidae
Exons: 3
Source: RefSeq, a predicted model, not a curated record